CGUGUUUAGACGCAAGAAUUCUAGGGAAAACAUUAAAUACUCCAACUAAAAAGAGACUUGCUGUAAAUAACAUGAAAAAAGUCAUACCGAUCUAUCACAAAAUGAUAACUAUAAAACUAACUUCAUCAUGUUUAAGUAAGCUUCAUCACUUUCAUGCUAAUAACCCCCUUCCGUAAACGUUAGGAAUUCAUUCAUUGGGAAUAACUAGUUAUUUCACUGCUUAACUAUUCGUGCAGAAAUAAUUCAUCAUUUUAAAGAUGCUGUCGUAAUCUAG
RNAcentral lists this long non-coding RNA (274 nucleotides) under Mytilus galloprovincialis (Mediterranean mussel). Lineage: Eukaryota; Metazoa; Mollusca; Bivalvia; Mytilida; Mytilidae. The record is from RNAcentral.